Molecule: ribosomal RNA, 253 nt
Filed under: uncultured bacterium
Lineage: Bacteria
Description: partial 16S ribosomal RNA
Rfam family: Bacterial small subunit ribosomal RNA
Source: RNAcentral
UACGUAGGGCGCAAGCGUUGUCCGGAAUCAUUGGGCGUAAAGCGCGCGUAGGUGGCCACAUAAGUCCGUUGUGAAAGUCAAAGGCUCAACCUUUGAAAGCCGAUGGAUACUGUGUGGCUAGAGUACGGAAGAGGCGAGUGGAAUUCCUGGUGUAGCGGUGGAAUGCGCAGAUAUCAGGAGGAACACCAAUAGCGAAGGCAGCUCGCUGGGACGUUACUGACACUGAGGCGCGAAAGCGUGGGGAGCGAACAGG